ACUCAAAUGAAUUGACGGGGGCCCGCACAAGCAGCGGAGCGUGUGGUUUAAUUCGAGGCUACACGAAGAACCUUACCUGGCGUUGACAUGUGAGUGAACGACGGUGAAAGCCGGAGGUCCGCAAGGCACUCACACAGGUGCUGCAUGGCUGUCGUCAGCUCGUGCCGUGAGGUGUUAGGUUAAGUCCUGUAACGAGCGCAACCCCCGGGUCCAGUUACACGUGGUCUGGACCGACUGCCCGUGACAAGCGGGAGGAAGGUGGGGAUGACGUCAAGUCAGCAUGGCCUUUAUCGCCAGGGCUACACACACGCUACAAUGGUCGGUACAAUGGGUCGCCAAGCCGCAAGGCGGAGCCAAUCCACUAAAGCCGGUCACAGUUCGGAUUGUGGGCUGCAACCCGCCCACAUGAAGUCGGAGUUGCUAGUAACCGCCGGUCAGCCAUACGGCGGUGAAUACGUUCCCGGGCCUUGUACACACCGCCCGU
This 484-nucleotide ribosomal RNA is filed under the name uncultured bacterium. RNAcentral describes it as "partial 16S ribosomal RNA". It matches the Rfam family "Bacterial small subunit ribosomal RNA", at positions 899 to 1397 of the family's 1533-position model. The record is from RNAcentral.